This 266-nucleotide signal recognition particle RNA is filed under the name Microcaldota archaeon. Its description in RNAcentral is "signal recognition particle sRNA large type". It matches the Rfam family "Bacterial large signal recognition particle RNA". From Rfam's summary of the family: The signal recognition particle (SRP) is a universally conserved ribonucleoprotein involved in the co-translational targeting of proteins to membranes. Archaeal SRP consists of a 7S RNA and homologues of the eukaryotic SRP19 and SRP54 proteins. The record is from RNAcentral. Lineage: Archaea; Nanobdellati; Microcaldota.
UUGGGCUAGUUGGGGGGUUAAGGGUCCCUUGGUAGCCGCAAUCCCUUCGAGCGGAACGAAAGGCAGCUUUAGGCUUUUGAACUGCUGAGAUUGGAAUUCAGUUUGAGCCGUAGACGCUUUGCCUUGCGUUACGUGUUUUGCUGUGAACCGAGCCAGGUCCGGAAGGAAGCAACUCUAAACAUCCAAAGGCGUGCUCGCAAGCCACAAGGCCGAGGCAAGAGUUGAAAAACCUACAGUACUUCAACUGUCAAACACUGCCAGCCCAA